CUUUCUUUUCCUUUCCUUUCCUUUUUCCUUACCUUUUUCCUUUCCUUUCCUUUUUCCUUUCCUUUCCUUUCCUUUUUCCUUUCCUUUCCCUUUUCCUUUCCUUUCCCUUUUCCUUUCCUUUCCUUUCCCCUUUCCUUUCCUUUCCUUUUUCCUUUCCUUUCCUUUCCUUUUUCCUUUCCUUUCCUUUUUCCUUUCCUUUCCCCUUUCCUUUCCCCUUUCCUUUCCUUUCCCCUUUCCUUUCCUUUCCUUUCUUUCAUCUUUUGUCCUUUUAGGCCCGCACCCUCAUGGUUUCUAGUUGGAUUCGUUAACCACUGAGCCACGACAGGAACUCCGAAAAAAGGAACUUUAGAGUACCCUAGGAAACACUAUUUUGGCCAGGUGAUCAAAACCCACAUGGUCAGUGGUGAGGCAUGUUAACAUAAAUCCUUGAUAAGAUGAACAGAGUGAGAAUGACACCUAGUGUUCUUCCUCCCCCCCAAAACAGUAAGCCCAGUCUAACCAUGACAGAAACCUUGGAAAACUCCGAGGGACACCAAUAAAAUACCUGACCAGUGCUCCUUAAAACUGUCAGGGUCAUCAAAAAUCAAAAAAAACUGAGGUUAAGCAGACACAAUGACCAAACGUAACUUGGCAUACUGGAAUGAAAGAAAAAGAGAAAAGGCUAAAAAUCUGAAAGAAGUAUGGAAUUUAGUUAAUGGUUACUUACAUUAGUUGUGACAAAUAUAGCAAUGUAAGAUGUAAACAACAGGGAAAUCGGGCAGGAAUUCUACUAUUUCUACAACAUUUCUUUGUAUUUCACACUCUUCCAAAAUAGUUUAUUUCAAUCCUUUUUUCCCUUUGGCCGUGCCUGUGGCAUAUGGAAGUUCCCAGGCUAGGGACUGUACCCGCCCUAGCAGUGACCCAAGCCACAGCAAUGAAAAUGCUGGGUUCUUAACCUGCUGAGCCACAGAGGAACUCCCAAAUUUAUUUAAAUUUGAAAAAUUGUGUUUUCACACUCAAAGCAACUAUAGAUCUAACCUAACAGAAUUUGACUCAACUCCCUAAGGGUUGUUGAUUUCCAAAUAGAAUCUGAGGAUUUUUUCUCAACUUAGGGAUUUUAAAUCAGAUUUAUAGCUCAUCACAAGGUCCUUGGUACAUUCAUUAUUUAGUCAAUUCAUUUAUACCAAAUGUAUGAUGUACAUAAAAUUCCCCCAAAGGGAAUUCUACCAUUCUAUGAAAGGACUCCAGGCAUAUAGCCUUGCGAUUUUGAAAUAACUUCAGGGCCACUGUUUAUAUUACAGCCUCAUUUCAGCUUUGUCCAACAGAUCACUAGGCCUUUUUUAAAAAAAAUGUAUUUCAGAAGUAAGUGGUAUGUUUUGAUUUAUAGUAAAGCAUCUUUCUAAUAAUUUAACCUAAUCAUCCCCAAAAUGUCCUCCCAGGUGAAAUCUUAAGGAUUCUUAGAUGUUUGUUGGCUCGGAGAUGGUUAAUUAUUAAGGUCCUCUAUUUUACUCUCAACAUUCCUGAGGACAGCUGAUUUUGUGGUAGACACCUUAAUUACUUUGGUAUAAAAAGGUUUUGUAAGCGUGUUACUCUACCAAAUCAAAUAUCUGACAAGCACAAUCUCUACACCUAGAAUAAAAGACAAGCUUUAUUCAGGGAGUUCCCUUUGUGGCACAGUGGAAAAGAAUCCAACUAGUAUCCAUGAGGAUACAGGUUCAAGCCCUGCCUUCACUCAGUGGGUCAGGGAUCUGGCAUUGUCAUGAGCUGUGGUGUAGGUCUCAGAGGUGGCUCAGAUCCUGCGUUGCUAUGGCUGUGGCAUUGCCGGGCAGCUGUAGCUCAGAUUCGAUCGCUAGCCCAGGAACUUCCAUAUAUAUACCUCAGGUGCGGCCAUAAAAAAAAAAAAAAAAAAAAGACAAGCUUUAUUCACAGACAGCAUAUCAUUUUGCAAUGUAAACCUAGUUAAAAAUCAAAGCAGGGACCAGCUGUAAGCAUUGCUGAGGAUGUCAAAUUCCUAAGAGUUUGUAACUAAGAGAAAGGCCUCCGGCCCCCACUGGGCAGGUAGGGUAGAAAAACACAGCACACAUCUCCAGGUGGCAAUGCUGCCAUGCCACCUGGGGGGCUGCUUUCCAGCACAACAGUACCAUAGUCAAUUACAAGAUCUAUCACAAAUAGUUUAUUCUUGUUAGAACAAGUUAAAAAAUAGCCCAGUAUUAUCCCUCGAACUCCCUGCCCUGAUCCCUGGAGGGGGCAGAAAUGGAUGGAAUUACAGCCAAUCAGAAACCCUGAGUAACUUACUUUCUCAGUAGCUCUUGGGCUCAAAGCCUAUCAAGUGGCAGAGAGAGAGAGAGACUGAGAGUCUCUUUACUUCAUUAGAACCAGCUAUGUUUUGGGAGUCACAAGUCUUGAAUAUACUUGUGAAAUUUCGCAGUUUUCAUCUGGAUCAUUUGAAAAGCUCAUUCUUAAAUAUACCUUGGUAAUCCUUAUGAGUUUCACUGUCCAUAUGGCUACAUACCUUCACGUUUUAUCACCAGGGGUUUUCAAAAUCAUUUCACUGGCAUGUCCUAAUCCUGACACAGAACCUAGAAGCCAUAAAAGGGGAGAUCUAGGAAAUCCAUCACAUGAAAUAGUUUCUGCCAUGAUAUGCAAACAAGGUGACAAAGCAGGUGAGCUAUUUAAAGCUAGCUUAUCACAGGAGUUCCUGUUGUGGUGCAGCAGAAACAAAUCAUAUUAGUAUCCAUGAGGAUGCAGGUUCAAUCCCUGGCCUUGCUCGGUGGGUUUAGGAUCCUAUGUUGCCAUGAGCUGUGGUGGUUUGCAGACACCACUUGGAUCUGGUGGUGUUCUGAGUGUGGUGCAGGCUGGCAGCUCUAGCUCCAAUUUAACCCAUAGCUUGGAACCCUCCAUAUGCUGCGGGUGCAGCCCUAAAAAGCAAAAAAUAAAAAAUAAAAAAAUAAAGCUAACCAAACACAAUAGAAAAUUGUGGUCAAUUAACAACAUUGGAAGGCCAUCAGUGAAGUUAAGACUGAAACCCUCUCAAGGGUUUGAUUUAAAAAAAAAAAAAAGACUGAAACCCUCUAAAGAUUAAGCACAUUUCUUCAACAAAUAAGAAGGAAAAAGAAAUGGAAGGGGAAACAUAGAUUAAAAGAAGAAACAACCACUUUAGUUUCACUGAAUGUAUUUGUACAGAUAAAUUACAGGCUGAAAAUAUCAAAUGGUGAGGAUGUGGACCAACUGGAACGCUAACCACCUUGGAAAAGGGUAUGUCAGUUUCUGUAAAAUUUAAAAUAUACUAACUCUGCCACUCAGGAUUUUCUACCAAGUACUUGCCCAAAAGAAAUUAAAAGUAGGUCCACAACAAGCCUUGCACAAGAGUCAUAGCAACUUUAUUCAUAAUAGCCAAAAACUGGAACAGCCCAGUGCCCAUCAGUUGUUCACCCAACAAGUGAAAGAGUAAACUGUGGCCUACCGACACAAUGGAGUACUACUCAGCAAUGAAAAGGAACAAAGAGCUUAAACACGUAGAUGAAUCUCAAUACAUGCCGAGUACAAAUUUAUACAAGAACACAUACUGAUUCCAUUUAUACGAAGUUCUAGAAUAGGCCAAGCUAACCUAUGGUGAAAACAAAAUCCUAACAAGAAGGGAUGGGAGAGGUGCAAGAAUUACUAAAGAAAUCUUCUGAUGUGUCAAAUGUUCCAUAGCUUGGGUUACACAGCUGGAUAUCAAAAUUCAUCAAGUGGUACACUUUACAUUUGUUCACUUUCACUGUACAUUUUACUUCAAGAACAAGGAGUCUGCUUAAUAAUACGGAUGCUAAAAGCUUAAGAAUCAAGUACAGAUGUCUAUGACUUUAACAUAAAGAAAUAUAGACUGAUGGCUGCACAGAUACAUGAUGAAGAAAAUAUGGCAAAAUGUUACUUGUAAAAUCAAUGUGGUAGAUAUAGGCAUGUUUUUAAUUCAAUGUUUUCAAAUACUUGAGUUUUUUUAUUAAAAUAUUGCAGGGGAAAAAAGAGACAUAAUAACCAUUGCAAUGAGUGGACUGUUGUUCAGAUCCUGCUUCAAGAAUAUAAACUUUGGGGGGUUUCCGGUGGCUCAGCAGGUUAAGCAGUGGGCAUUGUCACUGCUGUGGCAUGGGCUUAGUCCCUGGCCAGGAAACUUCCACAUGACCCAGAUGGCAAAAAAAACAAAAACAACAAAAAAACACUGACAUUUCAUAUAGAUAUUUGGUAAGAAAGUAUUUUUAAAGUCCUUUUUAAAAAAGAUGUAUACUGAAAUACAUCCAGAUAAAAUGAUACUGUCUUGAAUUUGCUUUAAAAUUAAUGAGGAUAAAUAGAUGGAGAUUGUAAGAAAAAAAAUGGAGAGAGGAUAUGAAAACAAAUUCAUAGAAAAUGAAAUUCAAAAGCUCUUACUUAAUGUGAAGAAAUGCUACAUUACAAGAGAAUAACAUACCACUGCGCAUUUGGUUUUUGGCCAUGCCCACAGCAUGCAGAAGUUCUGGGCCAAGGAUCAAACCCACACCACAGCAGUGACAAUGAUGGAUCCUUACCCCACUAUGCCACUAGGAAACUCCCGGUUUUUUUUAACCUUGGCAGAUUGGCAAAGAAAAGAUUGCUAAAAAACUGUGCUGGGAGGCUACAGGAAAUAGGCAUUUGCAUUGCAGGUGCAAACUAAGAAAAAAUAAAUUAUGGAUAUAAAUUUAAUUUUAGAUAUAAAUUACAGCUGCACAUACUUUGACCAUGUAUCCUACAGAGAAGUUUAUGUAUGUACAAAACGACAAAUUUAUAGAAGGUAAUUCAUUUCAGCAUUACAUAACAAAAGAUUGGAAAUAAUGUACAUGUUCAUUAGUAAUG
RNAcentral lists this long non-coding RNA (4824 nucleotides) under Sus scrofa (pig). RNAcentral's name for it is "lncRNA (ENSSSCG00035073463.1)". The record is from RNAcentral. Lineage: Eukaryota; Metazoa; Chordata; Mammalia; Artiodactyla; Suidae.